CCGUAGGUGAACUGCGGAAGGAUCAUUAUCGAGAGAGGCGUUCCCCGCCUCGGGGGAAAGGGGGGGGGCUU
RNAcentral lists this ribosomal RNA (71 nucleotides) under Dendriscocaulon sp. Takahashi 2401. RNAcentral describes it as "partial 18S rRNA". The record is from RNAcentral. Lineage: Eukaryota; Fungi; Ascomycota; Lecanoromycetes; Peltigerales; Lobariaceae.